This 104-nucleotide small nucleolar RNA is filed under the name Escovopsis weberi. RNAcentral describes it as "Small nucleolar RNA Z13/snr52". It matches the Rfam family "Small nucleolar RNA Z13/snr52". From Rfam's summary of the family: Z13 or snr52 is a member of the C/D class of snoRNA which contain the C (UGAUGA) and D (CUGA) box motifs. Most of the members of the box C/D family function in directing site-specific 2'-O-methylation of substrate RNAs. Lineage: Eukaryota; Fungi; Ascomycota; Sordariomycetes; Hypocreales; Hypocreaceae. The record is from Rfam by way of RNAcentral.
UCCUCCCAGAUGAUGAAAUAUUUUCGGAUGUAAAGCUUUGUCACUUCUGAAAAGCGCAAAACCGUGUGGAUACUUCCGUUGCCUUCCUUCUGAUUCUUUAGGGA